RNAcentral lists this ribosomal RNA (510 nucleotides) under Enterobacter hormaechei. RNAcentral describes it as "partial 23S ribosomal RNA". It matches the Rfam family "Bacterial large subunit ribosomal RNA", at positions 416 to 929 of the family's 2925-position model. Lineage: Bacteria; Pseudomonadati; Pseudomonadota; Gammaproteobacteria; Enterobacterales; Enterobacteriaceae. The record is from RNAcentral.
GGCGGGACACGUGGUAUCCUGUCUGAAUAUGGGGGGACCAUCCUCCAAGGCUAAAUACUCCUGACUGACCGAUAGUGAACCAGUACCGUGAGGGAAAGGCGAAAAGAACCCCGGCGAGGGGAGUGAAAAAGAACCUGAAACCGUGUACGUACAAGCAGUGGGAGCCUCUUUAUGGGGUGACUGCGUACCUUUUGUAUAAUGGGUCAGCGACUUAUAUUCUGUAGCAAGGUUAACCGUAUAGGGGAGCCGAAGGGAAACCGAGUCUUAACUGGGCGUUAAGUUGCAGGGUAUAGACCCGAAACCCGGUGAUCUAGCCAUGGGCAGGUUGAAGGUUGGGUAACACUAACUGGAGGACCGAACCGACUAAUGUUGAAAAAUUAGCGGAUGACCUGUGGCUGGGGGUGAAAGGCCAAUCAAACCGGGAGAUAGCUGGUUCUCCCCGAAAGCUAUUUAGGUAGCGCCUCGUGAACUCAUCUUCGGGGGUAGAGCACUGUUUCGGCUAGGGGGCCA